UACGUAGGGCGCAAGCGUUGUCCGGAAUUAUUGGGCGUAAAGAGCUCGUAGGCGGCUUGUCACGUCGGGUGUGAAAGCCCGGGGCUUAACCCCGGGUCUGCAUUCGAUACGGGCUAGCUAGAGUGUGGUAGGGGAGAUCGGAAUUCCUGGUGUAGCGGUGAAAUGCGUAGAGAUCCGGAGGAACCCCAGAGGCGAAGGCGGCCCACUGGCUCGUACCUGACGCUCAGCCACGAAAGCAUGGGGAGCGAACGGG
This 253-nucleotide ribosomal RNA is filed under the name uncultured bacterium. RNAcentral's name for it is "partial 16S ribosomal RNA". It matches the Rfam family "Bacterial small subunit ribosomal RNA", at positions 524 to 776 of the family's 1533-position model. The record is from RNAcentral.